This 21-nucleotide microRNA is filed under the name Gallus gallus (chicken). Its description in RNAcentral is "gga-miR-7437-3p". The record is from miRBase by way of RNAcentral. Lineage: Eukaryota; Metazoa; Chordata; Aves; Galliformes; Phasianidae.
CUUCCUCCAACCUCAGUAUCA